CCACCCGAUCCCAUCCCGAACUCGGAAGUGAAACGUAGCUGCGCCGAUGGUAGUGUGGCCUAAGCCAUGCGAGAGUAGGUCAUCGCCAGGG
RNAcentral lists this ribosomal RNA (91 nucleotides) under Stenotrophomonas maltophilia. RNAcentral also lists the same sequence under 12 other names. Lineage: Bacteria; Pseudomonadati; Pseudomonadota; Gammaproteobacteria; Lysobacterales; Lysobacteraceae. The record is from RNAcentral.